This 450-nucleotide ribosomal RNA is filed under the name uncultured bacterium. RNAcentral's name for it is "partial 16S ribosomal RNA". It matches the Rfam family "Bacterial small subunit ribosomal RNA", at positions 354 to 796 of the family's 1533-position model. The record is from RNAcentral.
GUGGGGAAUAUUGGACAAUGGGCGAAAGCCUGAUCCAGCCAUGCCGCGUGUGUGAAGAAGGUCUUCGGAUUGUAAAGCACUUUAAGUUGGGAGGAAGGGCAGUAAGUUAAUACCUUGCUGUUUUGACGUUACCGACAGAAUAAUCACCGGCUAACUUCGUGCCAGCAGCCGCGGUAAUACGAAGGGUGCAAGCGUUAAUCGGAAUUACUGGGCGAAAAGCGCGCGUAGGUGGUUUUGUAUGUUGGAGGUGAAAUCCCCGGGCUCAACCUGGGAACUGCCUCCAAAACUGCAUGACUAGAGUACGGUAGAGGGUAGUGGAAUUUCCGGUGUAGCGGUGAAAUGCGUAGAUAUAGGAAGGAACACCAGUGGCGAAGGCGACUACCUGGACUGAUACUGACACUGAGGUGCGAAAGCGUGGGGAGCAAACAGGAUUAGAAACCCGAGUAGUCC